Molecule: ribosomal RNA, 1397 nt
Filed under: Robiginitomaculum sp.
Lineage: Bacteria; Pseudomonadati; Pseudomonadota; Alphaproteobacteria; Maricaulales; Robiginitomaculaceae
Description: bacterial LSU rRNA
Rfam family: Bacterial large subunit ribosomal RNA
Source: RNAcentral
GUUGCAUCGGUCAAGUGAACAAGGGUCUAUGGUGGAUGCCUUGGCGUUAAGCGGCGAUGAAAGACGUGACUACCUGCGAUAAGCUUCGGUAAGGCGGUAAGUAGCCUUUGACCCGGAGAUUUCUGAAUGGGGAAACCCAAUCUAAUUUAUUAGAUUACUCUCAUCUGAAUAUAUAGGAUGAGUAGAGCUAACGGGGGGAAUUGAAACAUCUUAGUACCCCUAGGAAAGUAAAUCAAACGAGAUUCCCUGAGUAGCGGCGAGCGAAACGGGAAAAGCCCAAACCAGUCAACUUGUUGGCUGGGGUUGUAGGACUGCAAUGUGGUAUUGACAAUGUAUAGCGGAACAAGCUGGAAAGCUUGGCCAUAGUGGGUGAUAGCCCCGUAUGCGAAAUACAGAGUCAGCCUAGCAGUAUCCUGAGUAGGUCGGAGCACGUGAAACUUUGACUGAAUCUGGGGGGACCACCCUCCAAGGCUAAAUACGACUUAACGACCGAUAGUGAACCAGUACCGUGAGGGAAAGGUGAAAAGCACCCCGAUGAGGGGAGUGAAAUAGACCUGAAACCAUGGACCUACAAGCAGUGGGAGCUCUAUGUUCUUAGAUUCGUCUUUGGACAGGGUGACCGCGUACCUUUUGUAUAAUGGGCCAACGACUUAUGGCUCAGUGGCAAGGUUAAGCUUUAAAGCGAAGCCGUAGCGAAAGCGAGUCUUAAUAGGGCGAAUUAGUCACUGGGCAUAGACCCGAAGCCAGGCGAGCUAUCCAUGAGCAGGUUGAAGCGGUGGUAAGACAUCGUGGAGGACCGAACCCACAUUGGCUGAAGACAAUGGGGAUGACUUGUGGAUAGGGGUGAAAGGCCAAUCAAGCCUGGCAAUAGCUGGUUCUCUCCGAAAGCUAUUUAGGUAGCGCCUCAUGUAUCACCCUCGGGGGUAGAGCACUGAAUGGGCUAGGGCCCUUCACCGGGUACCAAACCUAAUCAAACUCCGAAUACCGAGGAGUGCAAUCAUGGGAGACAGACGAUGGGUGCUAACGUCCAUUGUCAAGAGGGAUACAACCCAGACCAACAGCUAAGGUCCCCAAGUGUAUGUUAAGUGGGAAACGAUGUGGAAAGGCACAGACAGCCAGGAGGUUAGCUUAGAAGCAGCUACCCUUUAAAGAAAGCGUAAUAGCUCACUGGUCGAGUCGGUCUGCGCGGAAGAUAUAACGGGGCUCAAACAUACCACCGAAGCUUUGGGUGCAAUUUAUUGCACGGUAGGAGAGCGUUCUGUAAGUCGAUGAAGCCAUACUGUAAGGAGUGGUGGAGAUAUCAGAAGUGAGAAUGUUGGCAUAAGUAGCGAUAAAACGGGUGAAAAACCCGUUCACCGAAAGCCCAAGGAUUCCUGCACUAUGCUAAUCAGAGCAGG